Long non-coding RNA from Micropterus dolomieu (smallmouth bass), 534 nucleotides. RefSeq lists it as uncharacterized. The transcript has 3 exons. The record is from RefSeq and is a predicted model, not a curated record. Lineage: Eukaryota; Metazoa; Chordata; Actinopteri; Centrarchiformes; Centrarchidae.
CGCAGCUCCAGACUUGGUUCACUCACCUCUGCCUCCCCAUUCGGCCAGCCGGGCUUGCUCGCCAGCCUCCUCCUCUCGCCGCCUCCAUGACGCCCUCCGGUCCUCCGGUUGUCGUCAUUCAAAACAAUUUUUAAAUCAAACAAGACCCACAUUUACUUCUGCAUCAGAUUAAAAGAACCAUUCUGAAGCAGAACAGCUACAACAGCUACAGCACAACCCAGCCCACAACCGCCUGCCAUAAAGGCCUGUACCCCUGUAUGGCGCGGAAAACAGUACCGAGGUGAUUUACAGCGGUUCCAACCAGGACUGUGGAGACGGUGAAGACACAGCUAGUUCAGGUGGGGACAGGAGAGGAGCGAGCUUGUAGCAAGUUAAUUUGUCUAUCAUGCUUAUAAGUCAGCUGCAUGCCCUUUGUUAAAGGCUCAUUAUUACGGUGUUAUUGUUCUGUAUUGCAGCACAGUGUUCAUAAUGUUGCUUACUACAUUGUUUCUCAAACCAUUUUCUGAUGCCCCCAAAGUAUUUAUUUAAUAUUUA